UACGUAGGGACCAAGCGUUGUUCGGAUUUACUGGGCGUAAAGGGCGCGUAGGCGGCUUAACAAGUCACUUGUGAAAUCUCCGGGCUUAACUCGGAACGGCCAAGUGAAACUGUUAUGCUAGAGUGCAGAAGGGGCAAUCGGAAUUCUUGGUGUAGCGGUGAAAUGCGUAGAUAUCGAGAGGAACACCAGAGGUGAAGACGGGUUGCUGGGCCGACACUGACGCUGACAGCGCGAAAGCCAGGGGAGCAAACGGG
RNAcentral lists this ribosomal RNA (254 nucleotides) under uncultured bacterium. Its description in RNAcentral is "partial 16S ribosomal RNA". It matches the Rfam family "Bacterial small subunit ribosomal RNA", at positions 524 to 776 of the family's 1533-position model. The record is from RNAcentral.